This is a long non-coding RNA of Ficedula albicollis (Collared flycatcher), 1703 nucleotides long. RefSeq lists it as uncharacterized. Lineage: Eukaryota; Metazoa; Chordata; Aves; Passeriformes; Muscicapidae. The transcript is spliced from 3 exons. The record is from RefSeq and is a predicted model, not a curated record.
GCGGAGGGAAGAGGGGGGAAAUCCCUUUUAGUUUUGCGAUUAGGCUGCCAGGCUUUGUAAAGGGCUUAAAAACAAAGUCAUGCUCAGUCUUUUGUAGGAGAGAUCCAGAUGUUAUGUAGAUUUCUGUUUGCAUGUUCGUUUUGAGCGGAUCCGGCGGUGAGCGCAGUAUUUACGUGUGUGUGUGUUGCUGGACUUUACCGUUUAUCGACGUUGCGCUUGUGGAAUGUAUGCUGGAGUAUUAGCUCGGUAAUGCCUUCUAAUGGUAGUGCUAAUUACAGUGGGGUUAUUUAGCAAAUUAAGUGAGAUGAUGCACCCCCCCCACCCUCGAGUACCAAAUGAACUUUUCCGAGCACAUAGGCACACACACACGCGCGUUAAUUUUGGUGCGUUUCUCUCGCCCAAUCACUUCGCUGAAGCUACACCAUGCCUUACCUCAGAGCAGUCAAUUACCAGAGCUACCCGGGAUCAUCAAUCAUGGGGGAUGCUUGAAGUUUAGGGGAGGAGCGAUGGUCAAACUAUCGAUCGCUGCAGUUUUGUCCUCCCCAACCCCCCACCCUCGUUCACGGUCCCCUGCACAUAAAAUCUAAAACAGACUAUCCCGUUAAUAGUGGAAUUUAUCAAUGAUUAUGUGCCCAGUUGUGAAUGUGGCCUCAUACAUAGACGGCUUUUGAAAAUACACGGCAGAAAAUGUAUUAUUCCGUUAGAUUUUGGUUUGGUUUGCUUUUCGUGGCGAUGAUGUUGAUUUUCAGAGAGGAUCUCCUCCAAGAUUAAAGCUAGUCCUAAGAGCAACCGAAUUGCUGUGACUGACUUUCACGGGACUGUAAAGAGAGCUGCCUAUAAAACUCCAGAAGAGGAGCGCUCUCAUUUUUACACUGGAGUUCUCGGUCCGGAGAGAACAAUAUACUCCUACCUCUUUUGAAAUGAUCCGGAGACUCUCACAACACACAGGCAAUCACUCGAAGCACGAAUUUCCUCCUUUUUUUUCCCCCCCAAGAAAUGCUCGGCCCAUUGUUUGAAGUGGGAUUCAGUGCACAGCCCAAAGAGAAAAGGAAAAAAAAAUCAUGAGAGCCCGGUUUGGUAUUGUACGGAGAGAGCUGACAAAAUAUUACAGCGUGUUUCCUAGAAGUACAUGGUGAGAGCCGGCAGUGCGUUCCCGAAAAGAUGUUGCUUUUUAUUUCCACCACCCUCCCCCCCAAGACUGUGAUCGUCUUUGUAUGUCUUUCUUUUGAUCCCGCCAAGAGAAUGCAAUACACAUAUAUGUGUUUGCUCUCCAUACAAGAGAUGCCAUACAAUGGAAUAUGCGGCCGGUUAGUCCUCAUAAUGCUUAGUUUUGCUGUAAUUAAUUGAAAACAGUUAUUAGGUCGUCAUUGGCAAUAGCGUAAAUAAUUGCGCAGAUUUUUACUUAAAAUUGACCGGUCAUAGAGUGAUAGAUCGAUUCGAGGUAUAAAAAUGAUGUAUCAAAACAUCAAUGUCGAUUAUUUGAAAUAUUGUAGUCGAAUCUUUUUAUUGCUUCAUCGGUUAAGUGUCUGAAAGUGCUGUGUUCCAACAUAUAUUUAUGUUGUCAAUACUGUCAAAACUGUCAGUUUUAUUACAGUGGAUUUGUAAUACAUUUCGGAUUUGCUCAUUUACAUAAAAUGUCCACCUCAGAUACCCCUCCUUUUCUCCAUCUCUGGAAAUCUGUGUCAGUUUAAUGAAAGGAUUCA